GACGAACCGUCCAAACGUUGUUCGGAAUCACUGGGCUUAAAGGGCGCGUAGGCGGCCUGCCAAGUCCGGGGUGAAAUCUUUCGGCUUAACCGGAAAAGGGCCUUGGAAACUGGCGGUCUCGAGGGAGGUAGGGGCCUGUGGAACUUCGGGUGGAGCGGUGAAAUGCGUUGAUAUCCGAAGGAACGCCGGUGGCGAAAGCGACGGGCUGGAUCUCUUCUGACGCUGAGGCGCGAAAGCCAGGGGAGCAAACGGG
This 253-nucleotide ribosomal RNA is filed under the name uncultured bacterium. RNAcentral describes it as "partial 16S ribosomal RNA". It matches the Rfam family "Bacterial small subunit ribosomal RNA", at positions 524 to 776 of the family's 1533-position model. The record is from RNAcentral.